This 107-nucleotide small nuclear RNA is filed under the name Mus spretus (western wild mouse). Lineage: Eukaryota; Metazoa; Chordata; Mammalia; Rodentia; Muridae. The record is from RNAcentral.
GUGCUCGCUUCGGCAGCACAUAUACUAAAAUUGGAGCAAUACAGAGAAGAUCAGCAUGGCCCCUGCGCAAGGAUGACACGCAAAUUCAUGAAGUGUUCCAUAUUUUU